UAGCAAGCCUCCUGUGCACUUGGGUCUGCACGGGCUUUGUGCAUUCCUAAAGUGCAUUCCAGAGCAGCUCUUGAGAUAGCUUGAGGCCUAUCCCUGCCCUUUCUAGAGCAAGGUUAUAGAAAUUUCAGACAAUG
This is a small nucleolar RNA of Jaculus jaculus (lesser Egyptian jerboa), 134 nucleotides long. RefSeq annotates it as small nucleolar RNA SNORA9. The transcript has a single exon. The record is from RefSeq and is a predicted model, not a curated record. NCBI's taxonomy places the organism in Eukaryota, Metazoa, Chordata, Mammalia, Rodentia, Dipodidae.